UCAGCCAGCUUAUGACUUGACCCUCUCACCUGAUUUCUACCAACCUUUCCUCAGCUGAUUUCUUUCUGGGGAGAGAUUGGUAGAAAUCAGGUGAGAGGGUCAUGCCAUAAGCUGGCUAAC
MicroRNA precursor from Gorilla gorilla gorilla (western lowland gorilla), 120 nucleotides. Lineage: Eukaryota; Metazoa; Chordata; Mammalia; Primates; Hominidae. The record is from Ensembl.